RNAcentral lists this unclassified non-coding RNA (249 nucleotides) under uncultured fungus. Its description in RNAcentral is "partial contains 5.8S ribosomal RNA, internal transcribed spacer 2, and large subunit ribosomal RNA". Lineage: Eukaryota; Fungi. The record is from RNAcentral.
AACGCACAUUGCGCCCCUUGGUAUUCCAUGGGGCAUGCCUGUUCGAGCGUCAUCUAAACCCUCAAGCUCUGCUUGGUGUUGGGCGUCUGUCCCGCCUCUGCGCGUGGACUCGCCCCAAAUGCAUUGGCAGCAGUCUUUGCCUUCCUCUUGUGCAGUACAUUGCGCUUAUAGAGGGGGCAUGGCCUGCGUCCAUGAAGCAACAUCAUCGUCUUUGACCUCGGAUCAGGUAGGGAUACCCGCUGAACUUAA